UACAGAGGGUGCGAGCGUUAAUCGGAAUUACUGGGCGUAAAGCGUGCGUAGACGGUUCUGUAAGUCGGAUGUGAAAUCCCCGGGCUCAACCUGGGAAUUGCAUUCGAGACUGCAAAGCUUGGGUGCGGAAGAGGGAAGCGGAAUUUCCGGUGUAGCGGUGAAAUGCGUAGAUAUCGGAAAGGAACAUCAGUGGCGAAAAGCGGCUUCCUGGUCC
RNAcentral lists this ribosomal RNA (214 nucleotides) under uncultured bacterium. RNAcentral's name for it is "partial 16S ribosomal RNA". It matches the Rfam family "Bacterial small subunit ribosomal RNA", at positions 524 to 735 of the family's 1533-position model. The record is from RNAcentral.